UACGUAGGGUGCGAGCGUUGUCCGGAAUUAUUGGGCGUAAAGAGCUUGUAGGCGGUUUGUCGCGUCUGCCGUGAAAGCCCAGGGCUUAACCCUGGGUCUGCGGUGGGUACGGGCAGACUAGAGUGUGGUAGGGGAGAUUGGAAUUCCUGGUGUAGCGGUGGAAUGCGCAGAUAUCAGGAGGAACACCGAUGGCGAAGGCAGAUCUCUGGGCCGUAACUGACGCUGAGGAGCGAAAGCAUGGGGAGCGAACAGG
RNAcentral lists this ribosomal RNA (253 nucleotides) under uncultured bacterium. RNAcentral's name for it is "partial 16S ribosomal RNA". It matches the Rfam family "Bacterial small subunit ribosomal RNA", at positions 524 to 776 of the family's 1533-position model. The record is from RNAcentral.